Long non-coding RNA from Panicum hallii, 520 nucleotides. RefSeq lists it as uncharacterized. The record is from RefSeq and is a predicted model, not a curated record. The transcript has 3 exons. NCBI's taxonomy places the organism in Eukaryota, Viridiplantae, Streptophyta, Magnoliopsida, Poales, Poaceae.
UGUUCCUUAAGAUAGAUAAGCAAAUCAACUUGCAUGGGAGUUAUUAGUUUUCGUCUCUGAUAUUCUGUUUUUCUCCGCAGAAAAAUAUUCUAACCACAUGAUUAUAUAAUGCUUCUACAUUUUUUUUAUGUUUCAACCGACGUGCUCUAAUAGGCUUUUAUUUAACCAUGUUAACCUUUACCUUUGUAGGGCCAGAUAUUCUACCGAGUUGUUUCAGCAAGGAUAGAUUUUUUGUAGGGCCUGACUUUAAGAAGUUGGAAAAAAGGUUUGCAGCUGCUCAGAGCAGGUCGACUGCUGCCAAGCCUGUUACAUUUGCAGCUGCUCAGAGCAGGUCUACUUAAUUCCACUGAAAACUUCUUGUACGCAUUACCUUAUCUUCUGAUCCGAGGGUAUUUUUGAGGGUCUAACUCUGUCUUCUUUUGAUUCAGGUUGACCGCUGUCAAGCCUGAUACGCACGACAAGGGUAUGAGGUUGAAAAGAAUUCGGGAUCAUGAUGACAUGCAGAUGGAGGAGCUGGAAG